GGUCGAACCUUGAAUGAGAACAUUCGAAAUUCAUCUGUUGCAUAGAUGCUAUUCUUGAUAUCAGGGAGAGAUGGGUCAACAGGAUAUUCUUUCUUCUCUGAUGCACAAGAAAUAGGGAGGUCAUUUAACUUCACAUUCAUCGGAGAAGGAGGUGAAUCUGAAUCAGAAGACGAAGAUCCAUUCUCUGGAGAAGAUGAAAGCGGUGAUGAAUUUGAAUUUGAGGUUACGGUUGAAAUGCUCAGGUUCCGCUCAACAGAAGAACCAUUGGUUGCAAGGAGUUCUUCAAGGGUAGCCUUGACAUCCUGAAGCUUUGGAGGAACAACAAGUACAUCAACAGGCCGAUGACCAUUGGCAUCAAGUGAAUUAGGAUCAGCACCCACUAGUAAAAGCAGUUUCACCACAUCAACAGCAUUGACAGAUCCACCAGAUGCAGCACAAUGAAGUGCAGUACUUUUAUCAAGACCACAGAAUCGAUUCACGUCAGAGUCUGAUAGAGAAAGAAUAAGCUUCAUUACAUCAAUACUACCAUAUGUAGCAGCUACCAUUAAGGGAGUUCUAUACUCAAGGACCAUCUGUUUUGAGCCCUUCUGACGGCCAUACCAUUGUCCAAUUUCAUCAACACCAGAAGGCUCGCGCUCAAUUGAUUGUUUAAAGCGCCCAAAGUCAUUGUUUGCAGCAAGUUCAAGCAAACUGGCAAAAGCA
This 702-nucleotide long non-coding RNA is filed under the name Vitis vinifera (wine grape). RNAcentral describes it as "long non-coding RNA (VVIN_LNC002688)". Lineage: Eukaryota; Viridiplantae; Streptophyta; Magnoliopsida; Vitales; Vitaceae. The record is from RNAcentral.